RNAcentral lists this ribosomal RNA (620 nucleotides) under Uromyces viciae-fabae. RNAcentral describes it as "eukaryotic LSU rRNA". The stretch from base 210 to 363 matches the Rfam family "5.8S ribosomal RNA". Lineage: Eukaryota; Fungi; Basidiomycota; Pucciniomycetes; Pucciniales; Pucciniaceae. The record is from RNAcentral.
UGCAGAAGGAUCAUUAUUUAAUCUAAAUGAGUGCACUUAAUUGUGGCUCAAACUUUACACUUUUCACCCCAAAACUUGUUUGUGUGGCAUUUAUGCCAUUGCACUCAGGUAUACGUAACAUUUCUUUGUUACAUUAUCCCCCUCCCAAUUUUUUUUUUUUUAUAAACACAAGUUGAAUGUAAGAAUGUAAAACCUUUUAUUUGAAAAAUAACUUUUAACAAUGGAUCUCUAGGCUCUCAUAUCGAUGAAGAACACAGUGAAAUGUGAUAAGUAAUGUGAAUUGCAGAAUUCAGUGAAUCAUUGAAUCUUUGAACGCACCUUGCACCUUUUGGUAUUCCAAAAGGUACACCUGUUUGAGUGUCAUGAAAAUCUCUCAUCAAAUUUAUUUUUGGUGGAUGUUGAGUGCUGCUGUUAUCUAGCUCACUUUAAAUAUAUAAGUUCUUCCUUAUGUUGUUGGAUUGACUUGGUGUAAUAUUUAACUUUGUUUUCAUCAAGGAAAGUAGCAAUACUUGCCAAUAUAUUAAGUAAGGACUCCUAAAAAACAACUAUUUCAUUUUUUAAGACCUCAAAUCAGGUGGGACUACCUGCUGAACUUAAGCAUAUCAAUAAGCAGAGGAAAA